AACGAACGCUGGCGGCAUGCCUAACACAUGCAAGUCGAACGAGACCUUCGGGUCUAUUGGCGCACGGGUGCGUAACGCGUGGGAACCUUCCCUUAGGUUCGGAAUAACUCCCCGAAAGGGGUGCUAAUACCGGAUAAUGUCUUCUGACCAAUAAUUUAUCGCCUUUGGAUGUGCCCGCGUUGGAUUAGCUAGUUGUUAGGGUAAAAGCAUACCAAGGCGACGAUCCAUAGCUGGUCUGAGAGGAUGAUCAGCCACACUGGGACUGAGACACGGCCCAGAAUCCUACGGGAGGCAGCAGUGGGGAAUAGUGGACAAUGGGCGAAAGCAUGAUCCAGCAAUGACGCGUGAGUGAUGAAGGCAUGAGGGUUGUAAAGCUCUUGUAACCGGGAUGAUAAUGACAGUACCGGGAGAAUAAGCUACGGCUAACUCCGUG
This 433-nucleotide ribosomal RNA is filed under the name uncultured bacterium. RNAcentral describes it as "partial 16S ribosomal RNA". It matches the Rfam family "Bacterial small subunit ribosomal RNA", at positions 29 to 507 of the family's 1533-position model. The record is from RNAcentral.